GGGAGCAGAUGGGUGCCGGUGUGCCCCGCGGUCUUCAAAACCGUUGUAGCAGGUUAGGAGCCUGCCUGGUGAGUUCGAUUCUCACAUGCUCCCGCCA
This 97-nucleotide transfer RNA is filed under the name Bacillota bacterium. RNAcentral's name for it is "Firmicutes bacterium (gut metagenome) tRNA-Sec". It matches the Rfam family "Selenocysteine transfer RNA". The record is from RNAcentral. RNAcentral also lists the same sequence under 2 other names. Lineage: Bacteria; Bacillati; Bacillota.